This 911-nucleotide long non-coding RNA is filed under the name Salarias fasciatus (jewelled blenny). RNAcentral describes it as "lncRNA (ENSSFAG00005024029.1)". The record is from RNAcentral. Lineage: Eukaryota; Metazoa; Chordata; Actinopteri; Blenniiformes; Blenniidae.
GACAACACUUGCCUUGAUGCUUCAGUUCAACAUGUCUCCCUCGCAGACUCCUCUCUGUCAUUAAAAGCGUCUGGAUUUUUCGAGAAGCCGCCACGUUUUUGUUAGCAUCGAGCUAGCGGGCCGUUGUCAGCCAGGACCCAGAAAAGCAGCAUCAUCAUCAAUGGUGUGUCUACAUCCCGGAGCCGUCACAUUUUCCUGUGUCCGCUCAAUGAACCAUCUCCUCAGCUCUCAUCACAGCUGCACAUGUAUGGCGUUUGCGAGGCUUGGAGGGGAGUUUUGCCAAGCCCAGCACCUGCUGCUUAUUGUGGACAAGUGAACAGGAGACACGAGCUCAGCACAGCCACUGCCACUCACACACACAGGUCCUUACUGCCAUCCUGCUCAACCCAUAUGAAGAGAAGCCAACCUUCAGUCUGCGACCUGUCCUGGGGAGAAGGGGGGCCUUCAUCGUCAGCCCUGGAGUUCCCUUUCUGCUCUUCUCCUCUUCUGCCUUUCUUUCCCUCCUCUGCUCUGAUUAGUACAAGGUUUCUCUGGAUGGGCUAACAGAUUAAAAAGAAAGGAAGGACAGAGCCUCUUUUUCUGUCUUCAGUUUUUUUCAGGACUUCUGGUGUCCCCUCUCUGGCCCUCUUCAUCCUGGCCUAAUACAUUUUUACCUCUUUUUUUCUAACAAGCCAAUUUUAGUUUUUAAUUUUCAUUGCCAAUCGAUUUUUGUUUCCCCAACAGUUUUUCAUUAUAAAUAGUGAUUUUUUUUUUCAUUUUUAUUUACAGCUUUUUUUUCCAUCACCAAAGGAAGAGCACAUUUUCAAGUUUAUUUUUUACUUUUCUAAGCAGCAAAAAAGUUUUUCUUGAUAACCCUGUUACUCCAUUCUUUGAAGCACAGUACUUUUCUGACCUUUUACUCUUUAAAAACA